Molecule: ribosomal RNA, 449 nt
Filed under: uncultured bacterium
Lineage: Bacteria
Description: partial 16S ribosomal RNA
Rfam family: Bacterial small subunit ribosomal RNA
Source: RNAcentral
UCCAGACUCCUACGGGAGGCAGCAGUGGGGAAUAUUGCACAAUGGGGGGAACCCUGAUGCAGCGACGCCGCGUGGGCGAGGAAGUAUUUCGGUAUGUAAAGCCCUAUCGGCAGGGAAGAAGAAAUGACGGUACCUGAAUAAGAAGCACCGGCUAAAUACGUGCCAGCAGCCGCGGUAAUACGUAUGGUGCAAGCGCUAUCCGGAUUUACUGGGCGUAAAGGGAGCGCAGGCGGCGCGCCAAGUCUGAUGUGAAACGCCGGGGCUCAACCCCGGGCAUGCAUUGGAAACUGGCGGGCUGGAGUGCCGGAGAGGGAAGCGGAAUUCCUAGUGUAGCGGUGAAAUGCGUAGAUAUCAGGAGGAACACCGGCGGCGAAGGCGGCCUGCUGGACCGCUACUGACGUUGAGGCUCGAAAGCGUGGGGAGCGAACAGGAUUAGAUACCCGUGUAGA